CCUACGGGAGGCAGCAGUGAGGAAUAUUGGUCAAUGGACGAGAGUCUGAACCAGCCAAGUAGCGUGAAGGAUGACUGCCCUAUGGGUUGUAAACUUCUUUUAUAUGGGAAUAAAACGUUCCACGUGUGGGAUUUUGUAUGUACCAUAUGAAUAAGGAUCGGCUAACUCCGUGCCAGCAGCCGCGGUAAUACGGAGGAUCCGAGCGUUAUCCGGAUUUAUUGGGUUUAAAGGGAGCGUAGGUGGAUUGUUAAGUCAGUUGUGAAAGUUUGCGGCUCAACCGUAAAAUUGCAGUUGAAACUGGCAGUCUUGAGUACAGUAGAGGUGGGCGGAAUUCGUGGUGUAGCGGUGAAAUGCUUAGAUAUCACGAAGAACUCCGAUUGCGAAGGCAGUUCACUGGACUGCAAUUGACACUGAGGCUCGAAAGUGUGGGUAUCAAACAGGAUUAGAUACCCUAGUAGUC
This 460-nucleotide ribosomal RNA is filed under the name uncultured bacterium. Its description in RNAcentral is "partial 16S ribosomal RNA". It matches the Rfam family "Bacterial small subunit ribosomal RNA", at positions 338 to 795 of the family's 1533-position model. The record is from RNAcentral.